RNAcentral lists this ribosomal RNA (301 nucleotides) under uncultured bacterium. Its description in RNAcentral is "partial 16S ribosomal RNA". It matches the Rfam family "Bacterial small subunit ribosomal RNA", at positions 509 to 807 of the family's 1533-position model. The record is from RNAcentral.
CAGCAGCCGCGGUAAUACAGAGGGUGCGAGCGUUAAUCGGAUUUACUGGGCGUAAAGCGUGCGUAGGCGGCUUCUUAAGUCGGAUGUGAAAUCCUUGAGCUUAACUUAGGAAUUGCAUUCGAUACUGGGAAGCUAGAGUAUGGGAGAGGAUGGUAGAAUUCCAGGUGUAGCGGUGAAAUGCGUAGAGAUCUGGAGGAAUACCGAUGGCGAAGGCAGCCAUCUGGCCUAAUACUGACGCUGAGGUACGAAAGCAUGGGGAGCAAACAGGAUUAGAGACCCCCGUAGUCCCUGUCUCUUAUAC